UUGAACCAUAAAAAAUUAAAAGUGUUUAUAGAUAAUCUUACAAUAUGAAUAAAUGUCUUUGAAAUGUCUCUGAUGCGUUUCAAGGGCAUCGCAGUCUAUAUGCCCUUCGUUGCAGUAAAUACAAAACACGGAUUUGUUUGUCAGCAACUGUGAUGGAAAAUGUAUUCAAAAAAAUUAAAUAAAGUUUUGAUUUGUGUGGUAGCAAUUAUAUGUUAUUUUGAAUUGUUUUCGAUAAAAUUGAGGUUACUAUGAGUGCUACUGAAGUGUUAUUUGAGUUUAAAUUAUUAAUUUUACACAAAAUUAUUGACCACGAGUUUGAUUUGAGUAAAUACGUAUGUUGAUUGUGAAUUAACGGUUCAAGAAAAUAACAUGGAGCAAUUCCAGACCCUGCGCUAUAAGCCGAAGUGUUGUAUGGUAUGCUACAACGGGAUCCGACAGAACGGUGUUGACUCUAAUGGAAUUUGAGCUAAGAUACAAAAUGUGUUAAUAAUUUAAUGAAUUGUUACCGAGUCAGGCAACCCCCGACCGAGAGCCAGCGCUAAAUUAUAAAAAAACAACCCCUCGCUGCGCCUUCGCACUUUUUUUGUGCGUGGUGUACGUGUGUGCAGUUCUUGUUAAAACAUGUUUGGGACUUGUGUAAUUUUAACAGUUUUCGUUAAUAGUAUAUUGAAAUCAUUUUGUUAGAAGUUUUGGUUAAUUCAGUGAAAAUUAAUUAGGCCAGUUCUGUGUAAUUUAUUUUCUUUUUUUAACUACCUCACUUCUGGUCGAUAAUAGAAUAUAAAAGAAUGUUCACCCGCGUUUGGAUGUCAUGGCCCACACCACACAAGUCAGUACAAAAUGAUAAAUGUAGGCAUAAAAGUAGGGAUACAUUCGGAUAUUAGUUUAGCCCCUGUAACCCUUAAGGGCUAGGCUGGUACUAGGAUUAGACACUGGUAAUCAGACUGCGUUUGUGUACACAGUGGACACUGUAGUUACUAAGUUAACUAAGGUACCCCAUGUUCGAGAAACUUAAAACAGAUUUAUGACAGCAUUUCCACUUCAAAACUUUUUAAAACAAAUGUUGCAUAAAAAAACCAUAAAUCAACAUAAUCUUACAAACCAUGAUUCAGUUUUGUAUGGACAAUCCAAACAGUCUAACGCCCAAAAAAGGAUAGCCGCCACUUUUUCUUCAAACAAGGCUUGUGGAGAGUAUUAAGUGGUAGGCAGCGGCUUGGCACUGCCCCUGGCAUUGCUGAAGUCCAUGGGCGACGGUAACCACUCACCAUCAGGUGGGCCGUAUGCUCGUCUGCCUACAAGGGCAAUAAAAAAAAAAAAAAAACUACAAAAUUUACAGGAGAGUGAUUUAAAGUUAAAAAUAAACAACAACAAAAUAUAUAAAAAGGGAAGUAUAGCUCCUGAGAGGUAAAGGUAAAUGUAUAUUUAUAGCAUUUAACGCAUUAUCUGUUGACUGAUGUUGUUAUUUUUAUGUAAUUUGGGUUACAAAUAGUAGUUAUUGUCAGUUACCCCAAAUGGUCUUCAUUGUACAAAAAGCAAAAAUAUUGUAAAGGAAAUACACAAAUUAUUAGUUGUCAGCAAAAAAUUAUGUUAAUUUACCUCAUGUUUAAUUUAAAUUGAAGAAAAAUAGCAUAAGUGUAUGCUAUUUUAGAAAAUAAAAAUUGCACAAAUAUGGUGUAGCUAGCUAUCUAAUAAAAAUUGACUGAAAAAAAUUGAUUGUAUUAAGUAAUUUUUUUAAAAGAAAUAUUUACUAUGAUUAUUAGACUCUAUUAUGUAUUUCAAUGUGCUAUUUAUUUAAAAUUAUAUUCGGAGAAGAAAACAUUUCAAGUUCACUCAAGACGUCUAAAUAAUAAACAAUAUAAUUUAAUUAAUCAGCUCAGUCUUUAAUUGACUAAAAAUGGUAUGUGCUUAGCAAAUGAAGCACAUACAUAACAAUUUGUUGAUUAAGGCUCAUAUCACAUGAUUCACUGAUCAUUUUGUUAUUUCUCAUAUUUUUGUUUAUUUUCUAGUUUUUUUAUUUUAAAAUAUUCAAUGGUACAUUUGUCUGUCUCGUUCAUGUGUUUCCGGGAUUUUGAUGGUUGAGGAGUCUGUAUUGAUCUUGAAUAAUAUGGACUGUGUACAGACAAAUUGGCUGCAGGCGUUUCAUGUCUCAGUGAAUCUUCCUCGACAGAUGUGAAAUUGGGAACAUUGUUGGAAGUUUCCUCAAUCUGGGAUACAUGUUCAGAAUUCAUUGUUCAUCUUCUUAUACAGGUCCUCUUGCGGUCGAGUUUUGUAAAAGGGUUUAAGAAUUUCAAUUAUGGCACUAAAUAGUACUCCUUCAUUGACCCAGCAGCGGACCCACUUUUAGAUUUUGUAUUUAGAGUUCGUAUGUAGGCUGAACGUAUGGAUUUCCAUUUGGACUUACAAUCAUCACUUGUAAAAAUCAAAAUUAUCAUUAAAAUUACAUAAAUUGUUUCAGGUACUUGGCAACUGGGUCCUCAUUUCCAGCAAUGUGUUACGUGUUUAAAAGAGAUGAAAAAACUAUUGGAAAAAGUUAUCAAUGAAACUUGUGAUGUUGUAUGAACAGUUUUACAAUCAAUGUACAUGAAAAUACCCACAACAAAUGAUUGGCCAGACAUUUGAAAAGAAUUUCUGGAAUGAUGAUUGGCGGUAGGACCUCUUGUGAGUCCGCGCGGGUAAGUACCACCACCCUGCCUAUUUCUGCCGUGAAGCAGUAAUGCGUUUCGGUUUGAAGGGUGGGGCAGCCGUUGUAACUAUACUUCUUGAGACCUUAGAACUUAUAUCUCAAGGUGGGUAGCGCAUUACGUCGUAGAUGUCUAUGGGCUCCAGUAACCACAUAACACCAGGUGGGCUGUGAGCUCGUCCACACAUCUAGCAAUAAAAAAAAUAAAAAAAAUGUUCACUGUCGUCACUGCUAUCAUCACCUACAUUAAUUAUAAGUUCGUUUUCUAAAAAAAAACUCAGCGGCACGGAAUGUGGCCCAAGUGCGUUAUGUGGUUUAUUAUGAAAAUGAAACGCGACAAAAGGUUCUUUUUUGUGGUUAAAAUUUAAUCUUUAUAAAUGCAAAUGUUUAAUAAAAAAAAGCGAGUGAAAUUUGUUAAAACUUGUGAAAAUUACAAAAAGGUCAUUAUAAAUUGAUUCGUAUCGAUUUUAUUAUUUAAUUUUCCCGUACGAUACCGGUCUGGAAAGCUUGGUCGUUUAAAUUAAGGUCAUUCAUACCAAAGCCUUUUUCUACGUUAUUCGAGUUGAAACAGUGUACGGGUUGUUUUGGACGUUGGAAACAAUUCCAAGGUUGUCGAUUAGUAUUUUGCUGGUUUCGGGCCAAAUUAGACCUUUUUUUAUUAUUGUAAGCUCGUUUUCUGCAGUUUUCUAUUGUGUGACCUAUGUUUUUGCAAUAUCAGCAAAUAGGAGCAUUUGAAUUCGGACCACCUUGUAUAUUUAAUACGUUUCUUGGUUGAAACUGACGAGGUUGAUUUUGAAAAUUAGAACUUUGAGGAAGUGACACGUGAGAAUAAUAUACGAAUAUAAUUACUGUUGAUAACCUAAUAAUUUAUUUUUCUACAUAGUCUCUGAGUCUCACUACACACUGAGUCCAGAGCUUUUCCAAGGCUUCAAUCUCUUUCAAAAAAAAAGUUUUGUCUUGAUCCUGCAAAAAGCUCUCCACGGCAUCCAUCACCUCGUUAUCGUCUUCGUUCCUGUUUCCCCUUAAGAGCGGGCCUCGGGGAAACCCCUCUGCCCGGACAUGUGGCUCCCUUUUGGCGGCUGCCUCUCCAAAUUUUUUUUUUUUUUUUUUUUCCCUUUGUACUAUUUACAAUUUAAUCUUAACCUAUCUUAACCUAAAAUAAACCUAACUUAGUCUAACUUACAUCUAAGUGACAGCAGCGCGCCGUUCCUGCACUCCGUGGAGUGCCGGGACAGCGCGCGCCGUCACACCUAAACUAAUCCUAACCUUUUUUUUUUUUUUUCGGGGGGAAAUCCUCAUGGACUACCUCCGCCUGGGGAAAAGCGGAGGGGCGUGCCGGACUCCUACCGGCUAAAACCACCCCGGUGUCCACCCACACGUGCGCGCAGGGCCGCGGGAAUCCAAAUUCUUCCGCAGCCUCACACCAGUGAUGGCCCGGUCUGUCCAGGCCUCGUCUCCUGCACGGGGUAGUGAGGCGUUCAGCUACUCCGUGCAUCGCCUCAGAGGCACGCGCCGACACCCGCACGCGCCUCCGUCUCAGGUCCAUCGAAUAGGGGGCGAGGGCUUUCCCAAGUCCCUCGCCCCUGGACCCAUUCAUGGGGGGCGGAAAAGGGCGUUGUCCGCCCUUGUCCUACGCCCGGUGCGCCUUCUGCGGCCGGGGAAGGGAGUCGAGAUCUCCCUCUCCCGUUCUGCAGUUUCCUUCUGCGACAUCACGUCCUCGCAGAAGGACACUACCGCGUCCCACGACUCUGCGCUGCCGACCAUCCUCCGCACUACGGCCGGCAGCGACAGAUCGCUUCCUACUUUUGUUUGUUGGUGGUGCAUGGUCGCCAGAUCAUGCAAUUAGGCUCAGGCCACUUUUGAUAUUUUAAUUUAACGUCUAUUAUUACCGGACGGGUCGUCGUAGAAAUUACAAGGCAUACAUCACUUGACAGACUGAUUUAAAGUCAGCCUUCAUCACAUAGGCGUGACCAACGCCAUCUCUUAAAGUAUAAAUGGGGCGCAUGAGGUUAUGCAAUGUUGGUUGCUCUCCUAAAAGUGUAAUUUGUCCUUCAAUGCGCUCAGCUGCAGUUAAUUUAGAAUCACUUGUAUAACUAGUUAUAUUGCCUUGUAGUAUGCACCUUUCAUAAUAGUCGUCGAGGGGUUCUCCCGCGUUACGAUCAGGGCAUCUUAAUGUUUCCAUUUCAUUGGAUAGGAGCAUAGAAGCUUUGCCAAUAGGUUUGGUAUCUAGUGCGCCUCCCACCAUCUUGGGAGCGUGCUUCUGCAAUCUAUUUAAAUAGGGGAGGAUAACCAUUAUAUCUGUUCUCAACCCAUCUUCAAACGUGUAGUCAGGCGGCAUUAUUUCAUCAGGAUUUAACAAUAAAUAAUUGUUCCAAAUAGCUCCUGGUAUGGCAUUGUUCUCAUAAUAUCUUCUUCGAACGUUGAUGGCAGUAUUUGGAUCAGCUAAAGCUACAACUGUUUCACGUAAAUUUGAAAAGCAUGUAGAUUCAGGUCUUGGCUUAGGUGCGCCAGCGGACGAUCUGGGCAUGUCAGCCAUAACUGGCAAGUAAAUUUUGUCUUCAUGUUUUAAUACACCAACUGUGUCAACAAUCUUCUUUAUGGGUGUUGGUACAAAAGAAAAAGUUUUUUAUUAUUCGGAUAAAAUCUGCGUUAAGACCAGUAUGCUUAUUAAUGUAUUCUGAAUAUCUUGGAAUUAUAGGAAAAUGUUGAAUUAUAUCCAUUAACUUUGCUUCAAGCAGGGCGAGAUAGGCACGGUACUGUGAAUAAAUGCUAGGGAUUCGAGCUCUCUCGUCGUACUGCUUUGCGACGUAGGUAAGAUGGACUGUUCCCAUUCCUACACCACGGCUGGUUACUGACAGCAUCUUCGAUUGUAAGACUUGCUGUUCGGCGAGUCGAUUAUACUCUUCCAUGUCAACUCCAGCGAACAUGGACUCCUUUAUACGCUCGCGGUUUGCUUCGACCACUUCUGCUCCUUUCUUCACUCUAUAGUCUUCAAACCUUUUCUGGUUUCUGUUUGAGAUACACUACCACGACCACGGUUAAAAUUUUGCUGCUGUUGCCGAGGGGGUCUAUCUUCGUAUUCGUAAUCAUAAUGCCUGCCGUUGUUGUUAUUAUUAUUGCCAUUAUUAAUGUUUUCAAGCCGUACGCCCGGGUUUGGGACAAAAUUGCGCAUCCACUUAUAAGUGAUGGGGUCAGCAGGGGCGCCCUCUACACCCGUCGCCAACAACAUGUAGCAUCUCACUAAAGGUGCGACCUCCCUGUACGACCCGUUCCCCUUCUGCAUAUGCUUGACAAGCGUUAUCACACUUGCUGAAUCUUUCAUUGUUGAGCCCUUGACUAAGGCCCCCAGCGCUCCUGUGGCGUUUGGGUCAGUUAUUCUCUCGGCCACAUGAUUGUACAGUGAACUGUACGGCACCACCUCGUCUUCGUUGGCCCAUGUGUUAACCCCGAUACUAUAUACAGGACAUGUGUCACUGUAGGUGUUCCGAGGACGCGUGUAAUAACAAAGCCGGUUGAUUACGCACUACUCUAUUAUAUUGACGGCGGACGCAGCCGCCGAUGCUUACAUACCUAACAAGAACUGAAGUCCCUCCGCAGACCCACGAGUUUCCAAACGAUCCGUGAGAAUGGGAUUAUUGACAAUCCGAACGGCCCUUUUCUGUAUGGAGUCAAAUGGAAGAAGCUGGUAUAUGGGAGCCCCAGCCCAGAGAUGGGAGCAGUAUUCUAAGCGAGACCGGACUUGUGCUUUAUAAAGCAAAAAUCUUUGUCCAGUCGUGAAGUACCGCUUCGCUUUGUGGAGGACUCCCAGCAUUUUGGACGCCAACUUGGCUUUGCCUUCCUGACUCCGAAAUUGGACAUCGCUUGAAAUGUCGACCCCAAGUGUCACGACACUCGGAAGGUCGCUGCAAGAGGACACCAUGAACAGAAAUUCAGAUGGGAGCAACACCUCUUCUUUCAACCAAUUUGCGUUCUCUGCCAAGAAUCUUGUUUUGUUUCACUUACAUUUCUUCCAUUUAGAUUGUAUUCUUGCUGUGAGACUACUUAUUAAGAUUUGAAGUGAUCGUGGAGGGUUUCUACAGUCUUCUCUGUCAUAAUAUUGUAGGUUUUUUUCAAUUAAAAAGUUAUUUCGACCUUUUUUUCUUACUUGGAACCAUAUACUAAAAAUAUCUCUUCUUUUCAUUGUGCUGAAAACAAAAAAAAAGUAUGAGCGGGGCAAAUAAGAGCAAGGGAUUAGAUAUCAAAGAACAUUAACCGUUGAAGGCUAUGCCAGUGAUUUCCCGGUGUAUACACUUGCAUACUUUUUUAAAAGUCAACACUAAUACAAAAAAUAAUCCAGGUCUACAGUAAAAAGGUAACUAACUAAGAACAUUUCAAUAUUAUAAGGUUCGAACUUACCUUAAUGUAUCCUCGAUGAUAUAACAAUCAAUAAAAAUGACCAAUUAUAGCACUUUAAACGACAAGAACAGACCUGUUCGCAUUCAGCAAUAAAUCAAAACUAAACAAAACGCUCGUGCUAGUAUGCAUAAGUUAUUUUUCCGGACUUUCCCUACGUUAUAUGGUGUUGCCCAUUUAUAAAUUUUAUUUAAUAUCGGUUAUUUAGUUAUACACCUGUGUUUCAAAGGGAGUUUUAGGAAUAUUAAAAAAGUAUUAUUUUUUAAUUAAGAUCUCGAUAAUAAUACAGUGUGCGACGCUGUGACUAAACAAUAGUAUUAAUCCUAAUAUCUUCAACUGUUUUGAGAUUCAAAAUUUAAAGAAAUUCGAACAUAGAACAGUUCCAAAUUCAAAA
Molecule: long non-coding RNA, 7463 nt
Organism: Bombyx mori (domestic silkworm)
Lineage: Eukaryota; Metazoa; Arthropoda; Insecta; Lepidoptera; Bombycidae
Exons: 2
Source: RefSeq, a predicted model, not a curated record